This 301-nucleotide ribosomal RNA is filed under the name uncultured bacterium. RNAcentral describes it as "partial 16S ribosomal RNA". It matches the Rfam family "Bacterial small subunit ribosomal RNA", at positions 509 to 807 of the family's 1533-position model. The record is from RNAcentral.
CAGCCGCCGCGGUAAUGCGUAGGGUGCGAGCGUUAAUCGGAACUACUGGGCGUAAAGCGUGCGCAGGCGGUUCGUUAAGACAGAUGUGAAAUCCCCGGGCUUGACCUGGGAACUGCAUUUGUGACUGGCGAGCUAGAGUAUGGCAGAGGGGGGUAGAAUUCCACGUGUAGCAGUGAAAUGCGUAGAGAUGUGGAGGAACACCGAUGGCGAAGGCAGCCCCCUGGGCCAAUACUGACGCUCAUGCACGAAAGCUAGGGGAGCAAACAGGAUUAGAGACCCCCGUAGUCCCUGUCUCUUAUAC